Acanthopagrus latus (yellowfin seabream) is the source of this 1935-nucleotide long non-coding RNA. RefSeq lists it as uncharacterized. The record is from RefSeq and is a predicted model, not a curated record. Lineage: Eukaryota; Metazoa; Chordata; Actinopteri; Spariformes; Sparidae. The transcript is spliced from 4 exons.
AGAUUAAUAACUGUAGAUUAUUUAUUAUGACUAAUUUAACUCCGCUACGGAUCGUCGGAAGGGUCAAAGUUGUGUUCGUCGCUGACCCACCGGUCCGGUCCAGUUUAAACCUUGUUUUAUGGGUUUAUGGCUCAGAAGCCGCACUGUGCCGGGAAACAGCCGCUGAUGAGCGCAGAGCAGCAGCUGCUGGGCCGGUGAGGACGAGGAGGGAGAGAAGCGACAGAACACGUUCACUGUCUGGAGACUAAAACAAGCUAAAAGAGGCUAAAAGAGGCUAAAAGAAGAAGGAAUACUGGAUCCAUCACAACACUUUAACAUGAUACUGACCGUGAAUGUUGAGCGGCACCGGUCGGCUUCUCUCUCUCCGGGCUUCGACGAGAUCGCUCGGUCUGGAGGUGUCUUAUCUCCGGUGAGCGCUCUCGCAUCAGAUGAAGCUUGCUGACAGCGUAAUGGCAGGGAAAACCUCGGAAGGCUCCAUCAAAUGGCAGCUCUGCUACGACAUCUCAGCCAGGACCUGGUGGAUGAUAAAGUUUGAACCUGUCCUUCUUCCUGCUCCACUCCUUCCAGCCCCCGACACCGAGAACAUCUUCUAAUCUCCCAGCUUCAUUCUGCGUACCUGCAGCCCAGUACCAGUAGGAAUCAUGUAAAUACUGGAUGUAUCUCGCGCCAACUGUGGGAAGUCGAGUGUGGAGGUCAGGGAGUUGAAUGAGUGUGCAGCCCAGAAAGCUUAAAUGCUGGAGGCCGAUGGUCGUUUCCAGUCACAAUCCAACAGUUAAAGGCUCAGUCUGCUUCACUCUCUCAGAGGAAGACGGACUUUAAGUUUAUCUGACAUUCUUGUAACCCUUCUUCAUCGUGGCCACUUUACUCAGUGAUUGGUCAGAUGUGGAGGUGAGAAAGUCUGCAGUUUCAUUGCCGAUUGCAUCGACACAGACUGUAACACUCUGGAUGUCUUCCCAGGAGUCUGAAUCUGUCUCUAAGUGUGCUGUCAUCCACAUGUGUACGACUCACGACGCUGAGACGACAAAGACACAGAGUUGUUUUUUGAACCAUCUUUCCUUCACUUCUCUUGUUCUGCACAGAUAUUUUAGGAAGAAAUAAUUAUAAAAACAUCGGCAUUGGAAACAGUCUUGGGUGGUUUAGCCGAAUCUUCUCAUAUCUCCGCUUUUGUCUGGCGAUGGCGUUGCUCCUGGUUCCUCCCCCUGUCCUCCCCCUUCGUGCAGCAGGAGGCCCCUCUGUCCUCCCUGCCAGCCGGGCAGCGUGGAGGGCAGCGGGGGCACAGAGGAGCCUGGUGCUGCCUGAUGGCGGUCAGGAUGGGCCGCGCUCCGCUACAGAUGUGAUGCCAGCUUUUGCCAGGGGUCACCUUGGAGAGGCCGAUGGCAGCAUGUCCACCCCCUGCUCACCCCCCUCACCCCCCCAUCAGUACAGCUGGCUCCCUGCUUAAUCCGCCACAGGGGGAGGAGGCAGGGGGCCACACGGGCCGCUACAUGUUUCCUACAUACAGAUACAGUUUGUGGGAAAACACUCAAAUAUCUGAGCUGAGCAGGAGCAAAGCAUCAAACAUUAUUUACUUAAAGGAAUAAACUUGUGGGACAAAUCAUGUUCUUCACUAAAGUUUGUAGGUUUAUAUUAAUUGAUUAAUUAGCAGAGUGGUUUCGGUUUAAAGGUUCAUUCUUCAACCUUUCAACCUUUGAAAUGGCACUUUGACAACAUUGUCUUCGCUUAACGUCACUCGUGGAGCUCUCCAAAGAUCGCAGUCUUAUUAACUGAUAAUCAGACCAAUCUGUGCUCCCAAAGACACCAAUGUGUUGCUUUCCUUAGACUGCAGGGUUCUCCCUGAAGGUUUGUGUACGACUGCACAUGUCUGGCUCUGAGGUUUGAGGCUCGUCCCUGCAGACAGUAUUACCUUUUUUAAAUAAAAACUGUAAUUUCACAUCA